GACGAACGCUGGCGGCGUGCUUAACACAUGCAAGUCGAACGCUGAAGCUUGGUGCUUGCACUGGGUGGAUGAGUGGCGAACGGGUGAGUAAUACGUGAGUAACCUGCCCUUGACUCUGGGAUAAGCCUGGGAAACUGGGUCUAAUACUGGAUACGACAUGUCACCGCAUGGUGGUGUGUGGAAAGGGUUUUACUGGUUUUGGAUGGGCUCACGGCCUAUCAGCUUGUUGGUGGGGUAAUGGCUCACCAAGGCGACGACGGGUAGCCGGCCUGAGAGGGUGACCGGCCACACUGGGACUGAGACACGGCCCAGACUCCUACGGGAGGCAGCAGUGGGGAAUAUUGCACAAUGGGCGAAAGCCUGAUGCAGCGCCGCCGCGUGAGGGAUGACGGCCUUCGGGUUGUAAACCUCUUUCAGCACGGAAGAAGCGAAAGUGACGGUACGUGCAGAAGAAGCGCCGGCUAACUACG
RNAcentral lists this ribosomal RNA (470 nucleotides) under uncultured bacterium. RNAcentral's name for it is "partial 16S ribosomal RNA". It matches the Rfam family "Bacterial small subunit ribosomal RNA", at positions 28 to 505 of the family's 1533-position model. The record is from RNAcentral.